CAGCCGCCGCGGGAAUACGAAGGGUGCAAGCGUUAUUCGGAAUUACUGGGCGUAAAGCGUGCGUAGGUGGUGGUUUAAGUCCGUUGUGAAAGCCCUGGGCUCAACCUGGGAAUUGCAGUGGAUACUGGGUCACUAGAGUGUGGUAGAGGAUAGUGGAAUUUCCGGUGUAGCAGUGAAAUGCGUAGAGAUCGGAAGGAACAUCUGUGGCGAAGGCGACUAUCUGGGCCAACACUGACACUGAGGCACGAAAGCGUGGGGAGCAAACAGGAUUAGAUACCCCGGUAGUCCCUGUCUCUUAUAC
Molecule: ribosomal RNA, 301 nt
Filed under: uncultured bacterium
Lineage: Bacteria
Description: partial 16S ribosomal RNA
Rfam family: Bacterial small subunit ribosomal RNA
Source: RNAcentral